AUUACCAGAUUAAUACUGAAGUAUUCCAUUAUAUAUUGGUUAGAGUCAAGAUGCAGUAUGGUAAUGAGGUUCAGAUGUCAGGUUUCCAUCUUGUUACAGAUCACUGGACAGCCUUAUGGAGUGUUUCACGUAUUGACACACGUCGAACCGCGAAGGAGGCAAGAUUUGAAAUGAACUAAAGUCACUCAAGGGCCUGGAACUAGCAUUUUACACAGGAAUCCCACGAAAAUCUUUAUUUUUUGUCGAAAAAUAGACGGUUUUCGAGUAAUAUUUUUUGCCCAAAACGUGAAACAUGACCAGAAAAGGCUAUAUUCGUACCCUACGGAGGAUAAAAACCCGAAAAAACGCUUAUUUUAGGCAAAAAACACUAUUAUGUUAAUUAGUCACGUGACCAGUCACGUGACCCUUAAUUUUGUGUUUUUUAAGGCGUGAGUUUUAAAUUUUCAUAACAAAAAAAAAAUCGUGGGUUUGAAAUAAUCCUUUCAUUUGAAUUCAUUAGAUCACGCAGUUGAUAAUAAAAGAACAUCGAACCUUUA
Actinia tenebrosa (Australian red waratah sea anemone) is the source of this 536-nucleotide long non-coding RNA. The record is from RefSeq and is a predicted model, not a curated record. Lineage: Eukaryota; Metazoa; Cnidaria; Anthozoa; Actiniaria; Actiniidae.